This 253-nucleotide ribosomal RNA is filed under the name uncultured bacterium. RNAcentral's name for it is "partial 16S ribosomal RNA". It matches the Rfam family "Bacterial small subunit ribosomal RNA", at positions 524 to 776 of the family's 1533-position model. The record is from RNAcentral.
UACGAAGGGGGCUAGCGUUGUUCGGAAUUACUGGGCGUAAAGCGCACGUAGGCGGAUAUUUAAGUCAGGGGUGAAAUCCCAGAGCUCAACUCUGGAACUGCCUUUGAUACUGGGUAUCUUGAGUAUGGAAGAGGUAAGUGGAAUUGCGAGUGUAGAGGUGAAAUUCGUAGAUAUUCGCAGGAACACCAGUGGCGAAGGCGGCUUACUGGUCCAUAACUGACGCUGAGGCGCGAAAGCGUGGGGAGCAAACGGG